AUUGAACGCUGGCGGUAUGCUUUACACAUGCAAGUCGAGCAGCAGCGCGGGGGCAACCCUGGCGGCGAGCGGCGAACGGGUGAGUAACAUAUCGGAACGUACCCCGUCGUGGGGGAUAACACAGCGAAAGCUGUGCUAAUACCGCAUACGACCUGAGGGUGAAAGCGGGGGAUCGCAAGACCUCGCGCGAUGGGAGCGGCCGAUAUCGGAUUAGCUUGUUGGUGAGGUAAAGGCUCACCAAGGCGACGAUCCGUAGUUGGUCUGAGAGGACGACCAGCCACACUGGAACUGAGACACGGUCCAGACUCCUACGGGAGGCAGCAGUGGGGAAUUCUGGACAAUGGGGGGCAACCCUGAUCCAGCCAUUCCGCGUGAGUGAAGAAGGCCUCGGUGUAAGCUCUUUCUAGCAGGACGAAACGG
RNAcentral lists this ribosomal RNA (420 nucleotides) under uncultured bacterium. RNAcentral describes it as "bacterial SSU rRNA". It matches the Rfam family "Bacterial small subunit ribosomal RNA", at positions 29 to 453 of the family's 1533-position model. The record is from RNAcentral.